CGGGUGUAGCUCAGUGGUAGAGCACAACCUUGCCAAGGUUGGGGUCGAGGGUUCGAAUCCCUUCACCC
This 68-nucleotide transfer RNA is filed under the name marine eukaryotic metagenome. It matches the Rfam family "tRNA". From Rfam's summary of the family: Transfer RNA (tRNA) molecules are approximately 80 nucleotides in length. The record is from RNAcentral.